AUACUUACCUGGCAGGGGAAAUACCAUGAUCAUAAAGGUGGUUUUCCUAGGCUGAAGCUCAUCCAUUGCACUUUGGGGGUACUGACUCCUGCAAUUUCCCUCUGAAAGGGGAGACUUGACUGCACAGUUUUUGGUAGUGGGGGAUUGCAUUUGUGCUUUUCUCUG
Molecule: small nuclear RNA, 165 nt
Organism: Pelodiscus sinensis (Chinese soft-shelled turtle)
Lineage: Eukaryota; Metazoa; Chordata; Testudines; Trionychidae
Gene: U1
Rfam family: U1 spliceosomal RNA
About the family: U1 is a small nuclear RNA (snRNA) component of the spliceosome (involved in pre-mRNA splicing). Its 5' end forms complementary base pairs with the 5' splice junction, thus defining the 5' donor site of an intron.
Source: Ensembl